AGGGAUGCUGAUGAACUCCAGAGUUUUAUCAGUCAGAAGAAACGCACUGUUAAUGCGGUUUCUGGAUUUUCUUUUGGAAAAAAGAAAAAAGAACUCCCAAGAGAUGCAACGACUCCACAAUGUCCUCUCCAGCCCAAAUGCCAGAAGAAAAUGUUGGCAUUUAACAUUUCUACAAACCACAGGAACAAACAAUGCCGACAUUUACUCUGAUGAUUUGGUUACCCGAAAACAAUUGAACCUGGAAAACGUCCAAAGGAAUAAGGCUCGUGGGGUCCUGCAGUGACGUCACCACGAACCAAAAGGACACCCUGACGGUCUCAUUGCAUACAAGGAUGUUCGACACCCUGGUGCAAGUUUCACAAGACAAUAAAGACAACUGGUUUACAUCACCGGGUCUAUUGUUUUGGAGUCAAAGAGUCCUCUGCAGAUAUUUCAGCUCAUGGUAUAACCCCCCUGAACACCUGGAUAUUAAAUUAUCACAGAGAAAAGGUAAGCACUCAUUAGCAGGUGCUGUAUCCGA
Non-coding RNA from Plectropomus leopardus (leopard coralgrouper), 520 nucleotides. The record is from RefSeq and is a predicted model, not a curated record. Lineage: Eukaryota; Metazoa; Chordata; Actinopteri; Perciformes; Serranidae.